RNAcentral lists this transfer RNA (76 nucleotides) under Candidatus Magasanikiibacteriota bacterium. RNAcentral's name for it is "Candidatus Magasanikbacteria bacterium tRNA-His". It matches the Rfam family "tRNA". From Rfam's summary of the family: Transfer RNA (tRNA) molecules are approximately 80 nucleotides in length. Their secondary structure includes four short double-helical elements and three loops (D, anti-codon, and T loops). Lineage: Bacteria; Candidatus Magasanikiibacteriota. The record is from RNAcentral.
GUGACUAUAGUGUAAUAGGUCAACACACGAGAUCGUGGCCCUCGUAAUUCGGGUUCAAUUCCCGGUAGUCACCCCA